This 484-nucleotide ribosomal RNA is filed under the name uncultured bacterium. RNAcentral describes it as "partial 16S ribosomal RNA". It matches the Rfam family "Bacterial small subunit ribosomal RNA", at positions 28 to 507 of the family's 1533-position model. The record is from RNAcentral.
AUUGAACGCUGGCGGCAUGCUUUACACAUGCAAGUCGAACGGCAGCGCGGGCUUCGGCCUGGCGGCGAGUGGCGAACGGGUGAGUAAUGCAUCGGAACGUGCCCAGUCGUGGGGGAUAGCCCGGCGAAAGCCGGAUUAAUACCGCAUACGACCUGAGGGUGAAAGCGGGGGACCGAAAGGCCUCGCGCUAUUGGCGCGGCCGAUGUCGGAUUAGCUAGUUGGUGGGGUAAAGGCUUACCAAGGCGACGAUCCGUAGCUGGUCUGAGAGGACGACCAGCCACACUGGGACUGAGACACGGCCCAGACUCCUACGGGAGGCAGCAGUGGGGAAUUUUGGACAAUGGGGGCAACCCUGAUCCAGCCAUGCCGCGUGCGGGAAGAAGGCCUUCGGGUUGUAAAACGCUUUUGUUCGGGAAGAAAUCCUCUGGGCUAAUACCCCGGGGGGAUGACGGUACCGGAAGAAUAAGCACCGGCUAACUACGUG